UUGGACUAAUUUUCUUGGGUUUAAUAGGGAUUGGACCAAGGAAUCUCGUUGAUCUAAGAAAAGGAAGCAAACUAAUUAAGUAUCAUGAAACAAGCUACAGACUACAAUUGACCAAAACAAAGGAAUAAUGGAACAAAGAAUUUUGUUGACUAAAUAGGGAACCAAGAGACGAGAUAUAAAUGGAAUAAGGUUCUAACCAUAGAAGCAAAGUUAAGCUACUUGUUGACUAAAAGGGAAAGCUGCAAAAUGCAGCAAGGUUGUGAGCUGCCAGCCCAACGCCAAACUAGGUGUCCAAAUUUUCUGAACAAACAAGAUGUGCGCGGUGGUGGCGCAACGCCUCCUUUGCAGAUUCCAACUGAAGCAGCCUUUUUAAAGGCAUUUCAGGAUGGAGAACAUUGGUCGGAACAAAGUUCUUGGGAGUUACAAAGAAGGGAAAGCUCCUACUCCAUAAAUGCUACUUUGAAGUCAGUACGAAAAGCAUUGCUUGGUAAAUUUGGUUCAUUAUAUACAUUUCCUAAAUCUCCAACAACAUAAAAUUUUACAUUUUUGAAGAAAAAUCUCAAGAAUAUCUCAAGAACUCAAGUCUUGAAAAUUCUAGGGUUUGACAAAGAGGUACUAAUUUCAUUCCAAUCUUAUACUUUAUGUUCCAUGGGUUUCAUAGACUACAUAUUUGAAGAAAGAGAUUUAAACGAUUCAUGAAACCCUAGAAAGCUAGUCUUGAAAUUGGAAAGUUUGUUGGUAGCGAUGAUGAAUAGUGAUGAGUUUUGUUUAAACAAUUUUGUUUGGGGAUUCUAGUGGAGUGACUAGAUUCCAUAACACGUGUAAUGGAGGAAUUGGAGUUAAAAUUUAAGGAUUUGCCUUUUGAAUUGGAAAAUAGGGAUUUUCACUACACUAGUGAAGUUGGAUUUAAGCGCUGGACACUUAGUAUUAUUGUGACGUGUUAAUGAAUUAUGUGAGCUCGUAUACGUAGAUUGUGAAUUGUUGGCGUCGUGACUCUUUUUUUUUUCUUUUUUUUUCUUGAGAAGGUAACAGUUGGCGUCGUGGAUCUUUUGGUGGCAAGAAUUGGAAAGCGAUUCAAGGUAUGUUGAAACUUACUACCUUAUGAAGCUUUUUCCCAAAAUUCAUAUUGUUGAAUUGCUUUUUGAAAAUGGUUUAAUGUGAAUCCUAGCUUGUGAGGGCAAGCGGAUUGGGGUUGCACUUUUUUUUUUUUUUUAAAAGGGAAGUGUAUGUUUUUGGAAGCCUUUGCAUAUUGAAAUAGCGCUUGGCUAUGACUCUAUUUUGGAAAUGUCAAAUAUUUUGGAGGUUACUAUUGGAGACAUCCGCCUGUGUGAGCUCGCUCACAUUGCCGGUCCCAAGCCCGGAUAAAGGAGGAGGGUUGCCGAGGGUCAAUCGGAAACAGCCUCCCUACCCAGGUAGGGGUAAGGCUGCGUACAUCUUACCCUCCCCAGACCCCACUAUUGUGAGAUUACACUGGGUAGUGACCAAGACCAAGACUAUUGGAGACAUCCGAGAUUGGUUCGAAUAUUAUAUUUGUUACCAUGGAACUACAUGUGCUGGUGUAGGGACACAUUCCAAGACUAUGCUAAGGUUUGUGGCAAGAAGUCCCCAUUGAGAGGGCAAACGAUUAUUGCUUAAUGUAAUAAGGUUAAGUCGACUUGUACGGCACUAUGGGAAGCCGUCGGAACAAGUAGGGUCAAAUACUUGUGACUAAGUUGAUCACAUAAUGUUCUUUCUACUUACGCCAUGUCGGUAUAGUGCUCCCGGUAAAUGAUAAAA
RNA transcript from Lycium barbarum (goji berry), 1776 nucleotides. RefSeq lists it as uncharacterized. Lineage: Eukaryota; Viridiplantae; Streptophyta; Magnoliopsida; Solanales; Solanaceae. The transcript is spliced from 2 exons. The record is from RefSeq and is a predicted model, not a curated record.